AGCAGCCGCGGUAAUUCCAGCUCCAAUAGCGUAUAUUAAAGUUGUUGCAGUUAAAAAGCUCGUAGUUGAAUUUCGGGAUCAUCAGGUUGGUCGUGCCACUGGUAUGUACUAGCUUUGGUGGUUCCUCCCUCUUGAAGAACCGUAAUGUCAUUAACUUGGUGUUGCGGGGAAUCAGGACUGUUACUUUGAAAAAAUUAGAGUGUUUAAAGCAGGCAAACGCUUGAAUACAUUAGCAUGGAAUAAUGAAAUAGGACGUUUGAUCUUAUUUUGUUGGUUUCUAGGAUCGACGUAAUGAUUAAUAGGGAUAGUUGGGGGCAUUAGUAUUCAAUUGUCAGAGGUGAAAUUCUUGGAUUUAUUGAAGACUAACUACUGCGAAAGCAUUUGCCAAGGAUGUUUUCAUUAAUCAAGAACGAAAGUUAGGGGAUCGAAGACGAUCAGAUACCGUCGUAGUCUUAACCAUAAACUAUGCCGACUAGGGAUCGGAUGAUGUUAAUUUUUUAAUGACUCAUUCGGCGCCUUACG
This 522-nucleotide ribosomal RNA is filed under the name uncultured fungus. RNAcentral's name for it is "SSU rRNA". It matches the Rfam family "Eukaryotic small subunit ribosomal RNA", at positions 569 to 1092 of the family's 1831-position model. Lineage: Eukaryota; Fungi. The record is from RNAcentral.